This 464-nucleotide ribosomal RNA is filed under the name uncultured bacterium. RNAcentral's name for it is "partial 16S ribosomal RNA". It matches the Rfam family "Bacterial small subunit ribosomal RNA", at positions 29 to 507 of the family's 1533-position model. The record is from RNAcentral.
ACGAACGCUGGCGGCGUGCUUAACACCUGCCAGUCGCACGGAAAGGCCCUGCUUGCAGGGUACUCGAGUGGCGAACGGGUGAGUAACACGUGGGUGAUCUGCCCUGCACUUCGGGAUAAGCCUGGGAAACUGGGUCUAAUACCGGAUAGGAGCCAUUUUUAGUGUGAUGGUUGGAAAGUUUUUUCGGUGUAGGAUGAGCUCGCGGCCUAUCAGCUUGUUGGUGGGGUAAUGGCCUACCAAGGCGGCGACGGGUAGCCGGCCUGAGAGGGUGGACGGCCACAGUGGGACUGAGAUACGGCCCAGACUCCUACGGGAGGCAGCAGUGGGGAAUAUUGCACAAUGGGCGCAAGCCUGAUGCAGCGACGCCGCGUGGGGGAUGACGGCCUUCGGGUUGUAAACUCCUUUCGCUAGGGACGAAGCUUUUUGUGACGGUACCUAGAUAAGAAGCACCGGCUAACUACGUG